This 75-nucleotide transfer RNA is filed under the name Acinetobacter baumannii. Its description in RNAcentral is "tRNA-Thr". It matches the Rfam family "tRNA". From Rfam's summary of the family: Transfer RNA (tRNA) molecules are approximately 80 nucleotides in length. Lineage: Bacteria; Pseudomonadati; Pseudomonadota; Gammaproteobacteria; Moraxellales; Moraxellaceae. The record is from RNAcentral.
GCAGCGGUAGUUCAGUUGGUUAGAAUACCGGCCUGUNNCCGGGGGUCGCGGGUUCGAGCCCCGUCCGCUGCGCCA